Molecule: non-coding RNA, 538 nt
Organism: Pelodiscus sinensis (Chinese soft-shelled turtle)
Lineage: Eukaryota; Metazoa; Chordata; Testudines; Trionychidae
Source: the annotation of a RefSeq genome assembly
CUUGCCUCAGGAAGCCGAGCUCGUCUGACUUCCCAUCAUGGCCCGGGCCCCCCUGCUCCUCGCCCUGCUCACUUACUGCUCAGGGGUCAGGUCACAGCCUGUGGUGACUCAGGAGCCCUCCAUGUCGGUGACCCCAGGAGGGGCCGUCACGCUGUCCUGCAGCCUGAGCACUGGAGCCAUCACCAGCGGCAACUAUCCUGGCUGGUUCCAGCAGAAACCUGGAUCAGCUCCUCGGUUGCUUAUAUACAGCACCAAUAACAGACCCUCCGGGAUCCCUGCCCGUUUCUCUGGAGCCAUAUCCAGUAAUGAUGCUGCCCUGACCAUCACCGGUGUGCAGGCAGAGGACGAGGCUGACUAUUACUGUAUUAUAUGGACUGGUAGUGCUCUGCACAGUGAUCCAGUCAGAGGGGGAAAGGAGCACCUCAAGGGCCAGGUCAAGGCCACAGUAAAGUUCAUGGCAAUGGCAGGCAAGAAAGAUGUAGCAAAUGUAUCUAAAGUCCUUCUAGAAGCAUAUGGAGACAAGGUACCUAUUGAUUAA